UGAGUAAUGUCUGGGAAACUGCCUGAUGGAGGGGGAUAACUACUGGAAACGGUAGCUAAUACCGCAUAACGUCGCAAGACCAAAGAGGGGGACCUUCGGGCCUCUUGCCAUCAGAUGUGCCCAGAUGGGAUUAGCUAGUAGGUGGGGUAAUGGCUCACCUAGGCGACGAUCCCUAGCUGGUCUGAGAGGAUGACCAGCCACACUGGAACUGAGACACGGUCCAGACUCCUACGGGAGGCAGCAGUGGGGAAUAUUGCACAAUGGGCGCAAGCCUGAUGCAGCCAUGCCGCGUGUGUGAAGAAGGCCUUCGGGUUGUAAAGCACUUUCAGCGAGGAGGAAGGCAUUAAGGUUAAUAACCUUGGUGAUUGACGUUACUCGCAGAAGAAGCACCGGCUAACUCCGUGCCAGCAGCCGCGGUAAUACGGAGGGUGCAAGCGUUAAUCGGAAUUACUGGGCGUAAAGCGCACGCAGGCGGUCUGUCAAGUCGGAUGUGAAAUCCCCGGG
This 504-nucleotide ribosomal RNA is filed under the name uncultured bacterium. RNAcentral's name for it is "bacterial SSU rRNA". It matches the Rfam family "Bacterial small subunit ribosomal RNA", at positions 107 to 607 of the family's 1533-position model. The record is from RNAcentral.